AUUGAACGCUGGCGGCAUGCUUUACACAUGCAAGUCGAACGGCAGCGCGGGCUUCGGCCUGGCGGCGAGUGGCGAACGGGUGAGUAAUACAUCGGAACGUGCCCAGUAGUGGGGGAUAGCUCGGCGAAAGCCGGAUUAAUACCGCAUACGACCUGAGGAUGAAAGCGGGGGAUCUUCGGACCUCGCGCUAUUGGAGCGGCCGAUGGCAGCUUAGCUAGUUGGUGGGGUAAAGGCCUACCAAGGCGACGAUCUGUAGCUGGUCUGAGAGGACGACCAGCCACACUGGGACUGAGACACGGCCCAGACUCCUACGGGAGGCAGCAGUGGGGAAUUUUGGACAAUGGGCGAAAGCCUGAUCCAGCAAUGCCGCGUGUGUGAUGAAGGCCUUCGGGUUGUAAAGCACUUUUGGCGGGAACGAAAAGGACUGUGCCAAUACCACGGUUCGAUGACGGUACCCGCAGAAUAAGCACCGGCUAACUACGUG
This 484-nucleotide ribosomal RNA is filed under the name uncultured bacterium. RNAcentral's name for it is "partial 16S ribosomal RNA". It matches the Rfam family "Bacterial small subunit ribosomal RNA", at positions 29 to 507 of the family's 1533-position model. The record is from RNAcentral.